CACUCAAACUAAUUUUUAGAUCUAGACGGCUGUUAAACGGUGUGUGCCUAUGUGUGCACCCUAAAAAAAGCAAAUCUCCCCAGCAGACCACAGGCAAUGUGAAGUGUUCAUCUCGCCAAUCAGCAAUUCCUGACUUACAGUAUUGCCCUAUUCAGCAAAUGCCAAUCCCAAGUUCCAUUUGAUCAGAAACUCCAUGACUCCUUCAAACAUGCUGAACGUUGGCUGUGUGUCUACUGGAGUAAAACACUGACUAUCCAAAGAGAAAAGGAUAUUUUGUUUUUAUAAUAAUCAUAUAUUAUUAUUUUCUUCUUCCCUUUCUAUGCAACUGUAAAUUAAUGAACAGAGAGGUAUUUGGAAACAGGAAUACAUUUGUGACUGAUUUGUAUACUGUAUACAGUGUUGGGAGAGUGGGUGGGGCUUUCUAAUAACGAUACCUUCUUUUUAAUAACAAUGACAAAAGUUGCCUAUGAAUUAGAAGACAAUUUCACGUAUUUACAUUCCUUCAUGUUAACCUUGUAAAAUAACUUCAUUUAUUUCUUGGACUCUCUUGCCUUUAUGUUUUGGUUAUUUAUAAUUUAUCAGCCACAUGACCAAAUGGAUUUCCUGUGUUUGUUUCUGUGAUUUGGCCAAAUUAACAAGUUCAUAGGUUUCAAAUAUUUCAAAUAUUUUACGUAUAUGGGUUAAGCUAUACCUCUGUGUAUGCUAUCUAACUGUAUUUGACCUCAUACACUUACUUUUUCAUUGUCCACUUUGGAGACCACCAGAAAAAUUCUGCAGGCCUCACUGGCAUUUCUAUUGGGAUUUUUCCUCUACAUUUUAUUUCCCCAUUCUCUAUAAGUAGACCUUGAUUUCUUUAUUUCAUGCCCUGGUCUAUUCAAUAGAACAAGAUAAUGAUAAUCUGAAAGAUAAUUUCCCAAAGGUACCCAUUUAACCACAUUGUCAUUUGAUACUGCAACAAAACUUGGCACCUUCCCUAGUUUAUCCAGGUUUUGAUUUUUAUUAUUCAGUGCCCAGCAUCCCUUUACCUGAUGAUUGAGGUGUUGCUAUCUUUGACCCCCUUUAAAGACAAUUUUGUUGCUGUUUAUGUAUACUCAAGACCGUUACAAUUCUCAAAAUUCCCAGUUUUAUUUUUUUACUGAAAACAGACACAAAUGCAAUGUGUGUAUCAUAUUUCUUUUGGGUUAAUGAAUACAUGUUUUAUUAUCACAUUAGAUCUAUAUACUUGGGAAGGAUGUUCAUCAAGUGUCUGCUUCUAUAUAAAAAAAAAAAAA
Molecule: long non-coding RNA, 1271 nt
Organism: Condylura cristata (star-nosed mole)
Lineage: Eukaryota; Metazoa; Chordata; Mammalia; Eulipotyphla; Talpidae
Exons: 3
Source: RefSeq, a predicted model, not a curated record